AAUUUACCGCUACACUUGCCAAAACAUGUUGUGCUUUAGACGAACGGUGUCCUUUCUAGUUAAAUUAUUAAGAUCAAAAUCUGAAAUUACAAAUAAGACCAUCCAAAACUCUGUUGAAAUCAAAGUCCAUAAUAGUUACGAAAAUGUAUGGGGCAUCCAUCCUCUAUUGUUGAGUAUAAAUUUAGCACCCAACUCUAAUGGAUAAAAAAGUCACCCUCCAUUGAAGGUCUCUAGAAAAAAAAAUCCACCAACCACAAUGUCUUCGAUCAUC
RNAcentral lists this long non-coding RNA (271 nucleotides) under Lathyrus oleraceus (garden pea). RNAcentral's name for it is "Pisum sativum (pea) long non-coding RNA (PSAT_LNC001574)". Lineage: Eukaryota; Viridiplantae; Streptophyta; Magnoliopsida; Fabales; Fabaceae. The record is from RNAcentral.